RNA transcript from Fundulus heteroclitus (mummichog), 2616 nucleotides. It is a transcript of the gene named unconventional myosin-XVIIIa-like, with no coding region annotated. The record is from RefSeq and is a predicted model, not a curated record. NCBI's taxonomy places the organism in Eukaryota, Metazoa, Chordata, Actinopteri, Cyprinodontiformes, Fundulidae. The transcript has 19 exons.
AUAACAGCUUUGUGUGAAAGUAUGUCCUCUAGACGUAGGCGGGCUGGUGAGCAGCUUCUUCCUCACAGAAGGGACUGACAACUUGGGCCUUGGUGGACGCUGCAGGUCCUUAAUGCAGGCAUCAAAGUUGUUUUUUUCUCUCUCAGGGACCUAGACAUGUGGGACUCCAGAUCUGACUUUAUGGCCCAGUCUUCAGCAUGGUGUGGUUUGUCGACUCUUUCUGGAUCAGGGUUUCUGUUAAGAGCCGGCUCCAGUGCUGGUGGCUUCAGAAGGAGCGACCCAGGCCUGAGGAGGUGGCAGUCAAUGUACCAUCUGGAGCCUGAGAGCCCUACAAGGUCCUUUUCGCCAUUAGGAGCAGAAUUAUGGGCUAGUCGUGGUGAAAGGAGCUUCAGACAAGCAGAAAGGGUGCCGUGGCUCCAGGACGCUCAUGAGCGGCUGAACACUAAACUGGACCGGCUGAGGACCAGAGAAUUUACACUAGGCUACAACAAGACGACGGCACAGAUGCUCGACAUGGAGCAAAAGCUGCUAUCUGAAACGAGUGCUCUCAGACAGGAUGCAGGUAAAAUACCCCGGUUUGACCGAAGCCGACAGAGUAGAGAGCUCCAAGAAAAAGUCUUGAAGUCGGAAAAUAAGCUGCUGGACUUGAGGUCUUCUUUGGAGAACGUAAGCGAGGAUCAGUCGACUUGUCUUCGACCUCCAUUCUUACACAGCACAUCCCUCAAGACCGCAGGAGACAUGACUAAAGAGGAGAUCAAGAAUCUAAGGGAGGCCCUGAGAGAAGCCGAGGCCAGGGCCUCAACUCUCCAAGAAGAGCGCAACAAAGCACUCCAGGAUCUUCACACCUCUGCAGAGAUGCAGAAGAUGUUGAUUAAUCAAAUGGAUGAUAUUAAAAAGAGAGUCAGUGUUGGCACACAGGGACACUCGGAGGGACAGAACCAGGAGAGCGAAUCCAACAGCAGCAUCAGCCAAGCUUGUCUGGAAAAUGAAAAACUGCGACAAGAACUAGAAGUGAUCAUGGAACAUCUGGCUACGUCACAACGUCAGCUGCAGGAGCUAAAUGAGGAGAAAAUCCAAAACUCAAGACAGAUCACAGAUCUGGAAGCAGAGCGCUCUCAGCUGCUCAGAGAAAAGAAGGAGCUUCUGGGCACAAGAGACCAAGAUGGAGAUCUUGUAUCAGAUGAGACAAAGGGAAACAACAGCCAGCGCAGUAAAUCUGCAGAAGAGUCGGAAUUAGAAAAUCAGAAACUGCAGAAUCGGUGUCUCUGUUUGGAAGAAAAGCUCAGCGAGAAGGAGAAAAUGCUGCAAAGGCAGGAGGAAACAUAUCAAGAAAAGGAUGAAAUGAGAAUCCUCCACAUUAAAGAGCUAGAAGGGAUUGCCACACACUGGAUGGAAAAAUGGCAAAAUGUUGCUCUGACCCUUCAGUCCAAGCAAGAUGAGUUAGAAGAGCUCAAAGUAAACAACACCAAUGAUAAAAGAGCGUCUGAGCCUGGGUCCAGGUCUGAAGCAUGCAAACAGGAAAAAGGUAAAGAUGCCUUUCUAUUCGUUGAACACAAGGGGGCAUUUAUGUGCAAUUUGCUUCCGUUUGCAGGUAGUGAGUUGAUGCAGACACUUGACAAAGAGACACAGACAGACUUUUCAGAAUCCUGUUUAAUUCAUGAGCCCCCACCACGCUCCCCGAGUAACAAAUCUACUCAGGUGUGGAGGCAAAGCGGCGAGGAACAGAGGCUGAAGCAAAAACUGGCAGAAACAGAGAGGAAAGUGAGUGAGAGAGAGAAUGAUUUGAGGACCAUGGAACGGUUGAGAGAGAUGGAGAGAACCGAGGCUCAAUUCAGGAUUUCUGCUCUGGAGCUCAAGCUGCUGGAAAAGGCUUCUGGAUGUUGUCAUAAUGGCGGAAGUGCUUGGACAGAUGUGUCAAACCCUGCUUCAAUACACGCACAGCAAGAUGAAAAGCAGCAGCCAAAUUCUACAGUGCUCCACGAACAACCAACUCAGAGGCAAACAGUUUCCCCGGGUAAAAAUGAGAAACUAUGUGUUGAAGACAAGAGGAAUAAAACCAUGUGUCCAGUUAAUCCAGAGGUGGAGCAACAGAGAAGAUUGGUCACUGAGCAGUUAAAGAGCUUGUUUAAGGAGCGGGAAGGAAAGGAGGCGGGAAGAUUUGCUGAGACCCAAGAAACCGCUCCAAGUGGAUCCUCCUCACUGCCGGACUGGACCCCCUCAUCUUUAGUUGUGAAGGUAAGAAGGAAAAUACAGAAAAUACAACUCAUCGGGGUAAAAAAAUUUACAAAUCAAAUCCUGUUUUUUCUUUCGUUCAGGCCGCAGCAGACAGGAGAAACUGGCAUCAGGGCUCAGCUUUAAUGCCCGUGUUGGAGGAGGAUGAGGAGAACAGUGACUUGCCCUGAGGUUUACAUCUAAAUUUCAAGUCUUAAAGACAAAGCAGCCCACGCCGCAAAUUGCAGAAAUUGACCGUCUCUGUGGGGAUGAAAGUGACCUGCAGUGGAGGAGCAUGCCUCUUGCAAACCUUUAGCCUGAUGCAAUAUUCCUGGCUGAGACUAUGGGCUAGAUAUGUGCAGUCUCAAUGAAGACGAAUAGGAGGAAAGACUUUAGUUAGGUACC